This is a long non-coding RNA of Helianthus annuus (common sunflower), 1779 nucleotides long. RefSeq lists it as uncharacterized. The transcript is spliced from 7 exons. The record is from RefSeq and is a predicted model, not a curated record. Lineage: Eukaryota; Viridiplantae; Streptophyta; Magnoliopsida; Asterales; Asteraceae.
GGAGGGGCUAAACAUGUACAAGGAAAAAGAUAUUUACUAAAAGCAAAAUAAGGAAAAAACAAACACACACAUCUGGCGUGUGUGUGUGUGUCGCCCCAAGCAGGAGAAAAAGAGGAGAAACCCUAAAAUCCUUGAAGUUGCAAAAUUGAGAAGGGAAAUUGAAGCUAUUCAUAUGCAUGAAUCUGAAUGUGCAACCAUUUAAGCCUACUAAUCAAGUGGCAUAGGGAUCAUGUGGAAAUGGACUCAAGAACGGAAGGUUAACGGGUUAAGCGGAGGCGAGGAAGCAAGCAUGAACACUAACGCUCGAGGUAUGCAAAUAAUGGAAGUCGUAGGUUUGACACUAAAAUCCAAUGAUGGUGUUCGAAUGGAUGGAUGAAUGGAUUAACAUAAGCGAAAGCAUGAGAUGUCGACGCCUAACUAUGUUGCGUGGAUUUAGCAUCAUUAUGAAGGAUAGAAAGAUUGAAGAUCGAGUCAAGAGCAAAGGAUUGUACGGGAAAGAUCGGUCACAUAGUUUAGCAAAUGUAGGUCCGAAGUAUAAAUAUAAUGGAACGUGGUAAAUCCUUUUUAAUGAAUGUAUGACAUUUGAUAUUCGAACUUUCCUGUAAGUACUAUGUCUAUUAAAGAACGAAAUUUUUGGGUUCAUAUUUCCCGCUGUGUUGUAUUUUUUUAAGUUAUUACAAGUUAGUCUUACAGGGAAUUGUUCAUAAUACGAAUGGGUCAUGCCCGAUUUUUGUUAAAUUAUAGCAUGAUAAUAUUACUUUCGGAUUAAGAAUUUUGGGCGUUACAAGUUGGUAUCAGAGCCCUGGUUUGAGCGAAAUCAAGUAUGAGGAGGUAAAUACUUGAGCUCAAACCUGUGUGCUCUUGUGACAAGAAACCCGUACAAUCCAAGACUCGACCAAGAUCUAAGGGUAGAAGCCAAGGUAAGUAUGUCCUUAAGUAUAUAUUGGAAGAUAAUUAACAAUAUGUUAUGUGUAAGGUAAGCAUGGUUGCUUGGAAGGAAUGAUUUGUGGAUGCGGUCUAGCACCGGCACCAAGGUGAGAUUGAUGAAUGGACACGCAAUGUCAUCAAUCGGAAAGGAAUGAUCACCGUAAGAUAAGGAUGGCGAAUCAAUGGAAUCUACUUCCGUCAGAUAUCAUAGUGUGAUAAACCUAUCAAGAUCAGUGAAAGAAUUCUCAUAAGCGGCAGCUCAUUACCCGGAUGAAUGAGAUCAAUCCUGGGAUGGGUUGAAUUUGUAAUGAAGUGGUCGGUUCGCUUUCGCAGGUCGUGGCAUUAUUCCAAAAUAGUAAGGCAUAGGGAUCAUGUGGAAAUGGACUCAAGAACGAAAGGUUAACGGGUUAAGCGGAGGCGAGGAAGCAAGCAUGAACACUAACGCUCGAGGUAUGCAAAUAAUGGAAGUUAUAGGUUUGACACUAAAAUCCAAUGAUGGUGUUCGAAUGGAUGGAUGAAUGGAUUAACAUAAGCGAAAGCAUGAGAUGUCGACGCCUAACUAUGUAUGUUUAAAACUUAUGUAUGAUGUGACUGGUUGCUAACGAUGUGAUUGUAUGUGGUGUCUACAGGUUGCGUGGAUUUAGCAUCAUUAUGAAGGAUAGAAAGAUUGAAGAUCGAGUCAAGAGCAAAGGAUUGUACGGGAAAGAUCGGUCACAUAGUUUAGCAAAUGUAGGUCCGAAGUAUUAAUAUAAUGGAACGUGGUAAAUCCUUUUUAAUGAAGGUAUGACAUUUGAUAUUCGAACUUUCCUGUAAGUACUAUGUCUAUUAAAGAACGAAAUUUUUGGGUUCAUA